CGGUUGAUCCUGCCGGACCCUAUUGCUAUCGGGGUAAGACUAAGCCAUGCUAGUCGAGCGCCUCUAGGGGUUUGAGGACGCGGCGACCAGCUCACUAACACGUAGUUAACCUACCCUUGGGGUGGAGAUCCUCCCGGGAACCCGGGAUGGAUCUCCACUAAAUGAUAGGUCCUGGAAUGGUCUAUCAUUGAAACGAUUGUUGGAAACACGCUUCCAGCGAUGCCCAAGGACGGGACUGCGUCCGAUCAGGUUGUUGGUGGGGUAACGGCCCACCAAACCUAUAACCGGUACGGGCCCUGAGAGGGGGAGCCCGGAGAUGGAAACUGAGACAAGGUUCCAGGUCCUAUGGGGCGCAGCAGGCGCGAAACCUCCACAGUGCGCGAAAGCGUGAUGGGGUUACCCCGAGUGCCUUCCUAAGAGGAGGGCUUUUCUUCGGGGUACACACCCGAGGGAAUAAGGGGGGGGCAAGACUGGUGUCAGCCGCCGCGGUAAUACCAGCCCCCCGAGUGGUAGGGAUGAUUAUUUGGCCUAAAGCGUUCGUAGCCGGCUCGGCAAGUCCUUCGUGAAAUCCGACGGCUCAACCGUCGGGGUGCGAGGGAUACUGCCGAGCUUGAGGACGGGAGAGGUCGACGGUAUUCCAAGGGUAGGGGUGAAAUCCUAUAAUCCUUGGAGGACCACCAGUGGCGAAGGCUGUCGACUAGUACGUGCCUGACGGUGAUGGACGAAAGCUGGGGGAGCGAACCGGAUUAGAUACCCGGGUAGUCCCAGCCGUAAACGAUGCGGGCUAGGUGUUGGGACAGCCACGAGCUGUUCCAGUGCCGCAGAGAAGUUGUUAAGCCCGCCGCCUGGGGAGUACGGUCGCAAGACUGAAACUUAAAGGAAUUGGCGGGGGAGCAC
Molecule: ribosomal RNA, 897 nt
Filed under: uncultured archaeon
Lineage: Archaea
Description: bacterial SSU rRNA
Rfam family: Archaeal small subunit ribosomal RNA
Source: RNAcentral